AGUGAACGCUGGCGGUAGGCCUAACACAUGCAAGUCGAACGGCAGCACAGUAAGAGCUUGCUCUUACGGGUGGCGAGUGGCGGACGGGUGAGGAAUACAUCGGAAUCUACUUUUUCGUGGGGGAUAACGUAGGGAAACUUACGCUAAUACCGCAUACGACCUACGGGUGAAAGCAGGGGAUCUUCGGACCUUGCGCGAUUGAAUGAGCCGAUGUCGGAUUAGCUAGUUGGCGGGGUAAAGGCCCACCAAGGCGACGAUCCGUAGCUGGUCUGAGAGGAUGAUCAGCCACACUGGAGCUGAGACACGGUCCAGACUCCUACGGGAGGCAGCAGUGGGGAAUAUUGGACAAUGGGCGCAAGCCUGGUCCAGCCAUACCGCGUGGGUGAAGAAGGCCUUCGGGUUGUAAAGCCCUUUUGUUGGGAAAGAAAAGCAGCAGGUUAAUACCCCGCUGUUCUGACGGUACCCAAAGAAUAAGCACCGGCUAACUUCGUG
Molecule: ribosomal RNA, 492 nt
Filed under: uncultured bacterium
Lineage: Bacteria
Description: partial 16S ribosomal RNA
Rfam family: Bacterial small subunit ribosomal RNA
Source: RNAcentral